CCAGACUCCUACGGGAGGCAGCAGUGAGGAAUAUUGGUCAAUGGCCGGAAGGCUGAACCAGCCAAGCCGCGUGAGGGAGGAAGGCGCAGAGCGUCGCAGACCUCUUUUGCCGGGGGACAAAAGGCCGGACGGGUCCGGUUCUGAGGGUACCCGGAGAAAAAGCAUCGGCUAACUCCGUGCCAGCAGCCGCGGUAAUACGGAGGAUCCGAGCGUUAUCCGGAUUUAUUGGGUUUAAAGGGAGCGUAGAUGGGUUGUUAAGUCAGUUGUGAAAGUUUGCGGCUCAACCGUAAAAUUGCAAUUGAUACUGGCAGCCUUGAGUACAGUUGAGGUAGGCGGAAUUCGUGGUGUAGCGGUGAAAUGCUUAGAUAUCACGCAGAACUCCGAUUGCGAAGGCAGCAUACCGGCGCCCGACUGACGCUGAGGCACGAAAGCGUGGGUAUCGAACAGGAUUAGAUACCCGAGUA
RNAcentral lists this ribosomal RNA (464 nucleotides) under uncultured bacterium. RNAcentral describes it as "bacterial SSU rRNA". It matches the Rfam family "Bacterial small subunit ribosomal RNA", at positions 331 to 792 of the family's 1533-position model. The record is from RNAcentral.